Molecule: ribosomal RNA, 254 nt
Filed under: uncultured bacterium
Lineage: Bacteria
Description: partial 16S ribosomal RNA
Rfam family: Bacterial small subunit ribosomal RNA
Source: RNAcentral
CACGUAGGGGGCAAGCGUUGUCCGGAUUUAUUGGGCGUAAAGAGCUCGUAGGUGGUUCGGUAAGUCGGGUGUGAAACCUCCAGGCUCAACCUGGAGACGCCACCCGAUACUGCUGUGACUGGAGUCCGGUAGGGGAGCGUGGAAUUCCUGGUGUAGCGGUGAAAUGCGCAGAUAUCAGGAGGAACACCAGCGGCGAAGGCGGCGCUCUGGGCCGGUACUGACACUGAGGAGCGAAAGCGUGGGUAGCAAACGGG